This 471-nucleotide ribosomal RNA is filed under the name uncultured organism. Its description in RNAcentral is "partial 16S ribosomal RNA". It matches the Rfam family "Bacterial small subunit ribosomal RNA", at positions 334 to 797 of the family's 1533-position model. The record is from RNAcentral.
CACUCCUGCGGGAGGCAGCAGUGGGGAAUAUUGCACAAUGGGCGCAAGCCUGAUGCAGCCAUGCCGCGUGUAUGAAGAAGGCCUUCGGGUUGUAAAGUACUUUCAGCGGGGAGGAAGGCGAUAAGGUUAAUAACCUUGUCGAUUGACGUUACCCGCAGAAGAAGCACCGGCUAACUCCGUGCCAGCAGCCGCGGUAAUACGGAGGGUGCAAGCGUUAAUCGGAAUUACUGGGCGUAAAGCGCACGCAGGCGGUCUGUCAAGUCGGAUGUGAAAUCCCCGGGCUCAACCUGGGAACUGCAUUCGAAACUGGCAGGCUAGAGUCUUGUAGAGGGGGGUAGAAUUCCAGGUGUAGCGGUGAAAUGCGUAGAGAUCUGGAGGAAUACCGGUGGCGAAGGCGGCCCCCUGGACAAAGACUGACGCUCAGGUGCGAAAGCGUGGGGAGCAAACAGGAUUAGAUACCCCUGUAGUCCC